UACCAUGUGACCAUACCAAACUGUUGCCUCGGCGGGGUCAMGCCCCGGGUGCGUCGCAGCCCCGGAACCAGGCGCCCGCCGGARGGACCAACCAAACUCUUUUCUGUAGUCCCCUCGCGGACGUUAUUUCUUACAGCUCUGAGCAAAAAUUCAAAAUGAAUCAAAACUUUCAACAACGGAUCUCUUGKUUCUGGCAUCGAUGAAGAACGCAGCGAAAUGCGAUAAGUAAUGUGAAUUGCARAAUUCAGUGAAUCAUCGAAUCUUUGAACGCACAUUGCGCCCGCCAGUAUUCUGGSGGGCAUGCCUGUCCGAGCGUCAUUUCAACCCUCGAACCCCUCCGGGGGGUCGGCGUUGGGGAUCGGGAACCCCUAARACGGGAUCCCGGCCCCRAAAUACAGUGGCGGUCUCGCCGCANCCUCUCCUGCGCAGUAGUUUGCACAACUCGCACCGGGAGCGCGGCG
This 461-nucleotide ribosomal RNA is filed under the name Trichoderma sp. AH-Group-10. Its description in RNAcentral is "eukaryotic LSU rRNA". The stretch from base 165 to 318 matches the Rfam family "5.8S ribosomal RNA". Lineage: Eukaryota; Fungi; Ascomycota; Sordariomycetes; Hypocreales; Hypocreaceae. The record is from RNAcentral.